RNAcentral lists this long non-coding RNA (695 nucleotides) under Vulpes vulpes (red fox). RNAcentral's name for it is "lncRNA (ENSVVUG00000022148.1)". Lineage: Eukaryota; Metazoa; Chordata; Mammalia; Carnivora; Canidae. The record is from RNAcentral.
AUUUUUUUAAAGUCGUCUGUCAUUAAGGUGAAGAGCAAGUCCGGGUCUGAGCUAAUGAUACAACUCUGCUGUUAUUUAUAAGAGCAUAUCCUAGAGUCGGCUUGGAGAUCUUAGUCAAUCCUUCAGUUAUGUGACUUUUUCCUGAAGUGCUGUUUUCAAAGCUCUGUUGACAACAUGACAUAAAUAAAGGUUUGUGGAAAAAUGGCUAAAGCUUUUCUGAAAAAAAUAAAGCUUUUGGCAACAAGACUAGGAAAUAAUAGCAAAACAAUUAAGAGUAAGGUGGUAUUAUGGACUGAAAAAAUUAAUUUUUUUCCCAUCUUCAUUUUCAGCCUUCCCCGUCUGCUGCCCCAGAACCUGUUUUAGUAUACCAGCCUUGAUUAUUUAAGAGUAACGUUAAAUUAGAUGAUGAAAUUCCUUUGAAAAGUAAAGGACAAGUAGCCUGCGGGGAAAUGCCAUAUGCUUUUAGCUGUAGCAAUUGACUGGAUGUUGACAGCCUGUGGAACUUUAGUCCAGGGAUGCCUAGGUGGAUCAGCGGUUGAGUGUCUGCCUUCGGCCCAGGGCAUGAUCCCGGGAUCCAGGAUCAGUCCCACAUCAGGCUCCUUGCAGGGAGCCUGCUUCUCCCUCAGCUUGUGUCUCUGCCUCUCUCUCUCUCAAUAUCUCUCUGUCUCUCUGUCUCUCUCUCUCUGUCACUAAUA